Cordylochernes scorpioides is the source of this 73-nucleotide non-coding RNA. The record is from the annotation of a GenBank genome assembly. Lineage: Eukaryota; Metazoa; Arthropoda; Arachnida; Pseudoscorpiones; Chernetidae.
UCCAGGAUAGCCUAGUAGACAUGGCAUCUGUCUCGUAAGAGGAAUACUGCGGGUUUGAUUCCCAUCCCUGGAU